RNAcentral lists this ribosomal RNA (363 nucleotides) under uncultured bacterium. Its description in RNAcentral is "partial 16S ribosomal RNA". It matches the Rfam family "Bacterial small subunit ribosomal RNA", at positions 338 to 699 of the family's 1533-position model. The record is from RNAcentral.
CCUACGGGUGGCAGCAGUGAGGAAUAUUGGUCAAUGGCCGGAAGGCUGAACCAGCCAAGUCGCGUGAGGGACGACUGCCCUAUGGGUUGUAAACCUCUUUUAUAAGGGAAGAAUAAAUGCUACGUGUAGCAUGAUGCCCGUACCUUAUGAAUAAGCAUCGCCUAACACGGUGCAAGCAGCCGCGGUAAUACGGAGGAGGUGAGCGUUAUCCGGAUUUAUUGGGUUUAAGGGGUGCGUAGUGGGUUUUUUAAGUUAGUGGUUAAACGUCGGGGCUACACCUUGAUUUGCCAUUAAUACUGUAAGACUCGAGUUCAGACGAGGUAGGCGGAAUAAGUUAAGUAGCGGUGAAAUGCUUAGAUAUAA